This 80-nucleotide transfer RNA is filed under the name Actinomycetota bacterium. RNAcentral's name for it is "tRNA-Val". The record is from RNAcentral. Lineage: Bacteria; Bacillati; Actinomycetota.
GGGCGUUUGCGCAGCUAGCGAGCUUGCGUGGCUCCUCGCUUACAACGCAGGGGUCGGCGGUUCGAACCCGUCACCGCCCA